Molecule: ribosomal RNA, 468 nt
Filed under: uncultured bacterium
Lineage: Bacteria
Description: partial 16S ribosomal RNA
Rfam family: Bacterial small subunit ribosomal RNA
Source: RNAcentral
GACGAACGCUGGCGGCGUGCUUAACACAUGCAAGUCGAACGGAAAGGCCCUGCUUUUGUGGGGUGCUCGAGUGGCGAACGGGUGAGUAACACGUGAGUAACCUGCCCUUGACUUUGGGAUAACUUCAGGCAACUGGGGCUAAUACCUGAUAGGAGCUCCUGCUGCAUGGUGGGGUUUGGAAAGUUUCGGCGGUUGGGGAUGGACUCGCGGCUUAUCAGCUUGUUGGUGGGGUAGUGGCUUACCAAGGCUUUGACGGGUAGCCUGCCUGAGAGGGUGACCGGCCACAUUGGGACUGAGGUACGGCCCAGACUCCUACGGGAGGCAGCAGUGGGGAAUAUUGCACAAUGGGCGGAAGCCUGAGGCAGCAACGCCGCGUGCGGGAUGACGGCCUUCGGGUUGUAAACCGCUUUCGCCUGUGACGAAGCGUGAGUGACGGUAAUGGGUAAAGAAGCACCGGCUAACUACGUG